CUUAUACGGCGGACGGGUGAGUAAUGCUUAGGAAUCUGCCUAUUAGUGGGGGACAACAUUCCGAAAGGAAUGCUAAUACCGCAUACGCCCUACGGGGGAAAGCAGGGGAUCUUCGGACCUUGCGCUAAUAGAUGAGCCUAAGUCAGAUUAGCUAGUUGGUGGGGUAAAGGCCUACCAAGGCGACGAUCUGUAGCGGGUCUGAGAGGAUGAUCCGCCACACUGGGACUGAGACACGGCCCAGACUCCUACGGGAGGCAGCAGUGGGGAAUAUUGGACAAUGGGCGCAAGCCUGAUCCAGCCAUGCCGCGUGUGUGAAGAAGGCCUUUUGGUUGUAAAGCACUUUAAGCGAGGAGGAGGCUACUUGGAUUAAUACUCUUGGAUAGUGGACGUUACUCGCAGAAUAAGCACCGGCUAACUCUGUGCCAGCAGCCGCGGUAAUACAGAGGGUGCGAGCGUUAAUCGGAUUUACUGGGCGUAAAGCGUGCGUAGGCGGCUUUUUAAGUCGGAUGUGAAAUCCCUGAGCUUAACUUAGGAAUUGCAUUCGAUACUGGGAAGCUAGAGUAUGGGAGAGGAUGGUAGAAUUCCAGGUGUAGCGGUGAAAUGCGUAGAGAUCUGGAGGAAUACCGAUGGCGAAGGCAGCCAUCUGGCCUAAUACUGACGCUGAGGUACGAAAGCAUGGGGAGCAAACAGGAUUAGAUACCCUGGUAGU
This 709-nucleotide ribosomal RNA is filed under the name Acinetobacter sp. EECC-418. RNAcentral's name for it is "bacterial SSU rRNA". It matches the Rfam family "Bacterial small subunit ribosomal RNA", at positions 90 to 794 of the family's 1533-position model. Lineage: Bacteria; Pseudomonadati; Pseudomonadota; Gammaproteobacteria; Moraxellales; Moraxellaceae. The record is from RNAcentral.